CUUUAAGCUUCCCAUUUUACCUUAAUGAGAUGAUUUAUAGCCAUAAAAAUAUCUCUGACUUGUUUUAGGCCACAAGUUUCCAGUGUCUCUUUCUUAAACUCCGUGCCCAAUCAAAUUACAUAACAUAAAAUAAGACGGAGGGACUAUUUCUAAAGGACAUUUAUUUACCCAGCUCAUUUUGUAGUUUUUUUCUCGUGUUAGAAGUAUUGUGAUAUAAUAAGGGUGGAAAGUGGUGAAGUUUAUAGGUAAUGACUUUGCUUUCAUGGGGAAGGUUCUAUGGCUGGAUAGAUUGUGAUGAGUGUUGCCAACAUGUGGUCUGAUAUUGAAAAUUUGUUAGUUCAAAACUGCAUGUCUCCUGAAUUUGGAGCUAGUAUUUUCGAUAUGUAGGGUUAUUUGUUGGAAUAAUUAUUCGAUGAUGUAUCUGCAUUUGCAUGUUAAGGCUCUUCUUUAUUUGUGGUACUUAGAACAAAUAAUGAUUUUUAAUGUGAUUCUCUGGUCUAUCUACAGAUGGAAAUGCAUUUUCUGCCAGGCUUCUUAUAUGAGUCUGUCCCUUUAUUCAAGUAAUGGAGACAAUUUUCACAGUUUGCUGGCAGCCUGCAGACGAUCAGUAACAGAUGCAUCGUUAAUUCAGGGUCCUGCCAAAUGGUUAGCUGGUUAAUCAAGUGCCCCUUCUCCCUCCCUUUAAAGCAGUCAUUCUUAAACACCAUAUGUUAUCUCAUUGAGGUUACUGAUGCGAACGUGCAUGUGGACCAUCACAUCUUGUGUUAUGUGUUCUCAGAUCUCUUGUGAAUGGAAGGCACUUCUUCAUAAAUCAGCUUGCAUUUGGAUUCAGCUAUACUGUUGCUCGCUAUGCGCACUCAAUUCUUGUAUUGAUCCCUUUCUGAUACCUUUUAUUGAUUCGUCCCCUUGUUUCCAAUGAUCUCUGUCAAUUUGUUUCUUGAUGUUACAGAAUCAUUCCCAGUUUUGAGGCAUAAGCCUUUUAACUCAGGUGGGGUAGUGUGCAUGAUAUCUGAUUGUUCACUUCAGUAUGGAACUAGUUAUAAUGGAAAAUGAGAUUUUCACAGA
Molecule: long non-coding RNA, 1065 nt
Organism: Solanum dulcamara
Lineage: Eukaryota; Viridiplantae; Streptophyta; Magnoliopsida; Solanales; Solanaceae
Exons: 2
Source: RefSeq, a predicted model, not a curated record